RNAcentral lists this ribosomal RNA (636 nucleotides) under Ateleute sp. NL355. RNAcentral describes it as "eukaryotic LSU rRNA". It matches the Rfam family "Eukaryotic large subunit ribosomal RNA", at positions 420 to 798 of the family's 3401-position model. Lineage: Eukaryota; Metazoa; Arthropoda; Insecta; Hymenoptera; Ichneumonidae. The record is from RNAcentral.
CCUGAGAAACCCGAAAGAUCGAAUGGGGAGAUUCAUCGUCAGCGAUUUUGGUACGUGUGCGGUUCGGGAUGCCGGUGACUUCGGUCACUCGACACUCGUCUGCAUGUUUAUUAUUGCCUGAAUCGUCGGCGUGCACUUCUCCCCUAGUAGGACGUCGCGACCCGUUGGGUGUCGGUCUACGGCUCGGAUGGUAGCCUGUCUCGCGUGCGUCUCACGGCGUCUCGCGGGUCAGACCUUCGAUCGCCCGACCGGCUGCUCGGCGGUACUCGCACGGUAUCUGGCCGCAAAUAUUUGAACUGCGUCCGGCCCGUCGCAAGCGAGGCAAGUGUCCCGGCUGUACGGAUUUAAUGCCGUCGCCGGGCCUUGACAGCUGUUGGUUGACGGUGUCCUGGGACUGGCCAACAAAAUUAUGAUACCGGUCGGCGACGCUACUGCUUUGGGUACUUUCAGGACCCGUCUUGAAACACGGACCAAGGAGUCUAACAUGUGCGCGAGUCAUUGGGAACUAUUAAACCUAAAGGCGCAAUGAAAGUGAAGAUCGGCCUUGCGCCGACCGAGGGAGGAUGGGCCGCGUUACGAUGCGGUCUCGCACUACCCGGGGCGUCUCGUUCUCAUUGCGAGAAGAGGCGCACCCAG